Molecule: ribosomal RNA, 425 nt
Filed under: uncultured bacterium
Lineage: Bacteria
Description: bacterial SSU rRNA
Rfam family: Bacterial small subunit ribosomal RNA
Source: RNAcentral
GUCGGGAAUUUUGGGCAAUGGGCGAAAGCCUGACCCAGCAACGCCGCGUGAAGGAUGAAGUAUUUCGGUAUGUAAACUUCGAAAGAAUAGGAAGAAUAAAUGACGGUACUAUUUAUAAGCUCCGGCUAACUACGUGCCAGCAGCCGCGGUAAUACGUAGGGAGCAAGCGUUGUUCGGAUUUACUGGGCGUAAAGGGCGCGUAGGCGGCGCGGUAAGUCACUUGUGAAAUCUCUGAGCUUAACUCAGAACGGCCAAGUGAUACUGCAGUGCUAGAGUGCAGAAAGGGCAAUCGGAAUUCUUGGUGUAGCGGUGAAAUGCGUAGAUAUCAAGAGGAACACCUGAGGCGAAGGCGGGUUGCUAGGCUGACACUGACGCUGAGGCGCGAAAGCCAGGGGAGCAAACGGGAUUAGAAACCCUAGUAGUCC